Acromyrmex echinatior (Panamanian leafcutter ant) is the source of this 458-nucleotide long non-coding RNA. Lineage: Eukaryota; Metazoa; Arthropoda; Insecta; Hymenoptera; Formicidae. The record is from RefSeq and is a predicted model, not a curated record.
UGAUAAUAUUGCGAUUUUUUUUUAAUUUUGUCGAUUUUUUUCAGAAUAUUUUUCAUAACAACGAUGAGUAAUUUACAGGAUUUGAUUCAAAUCCGGUAUGAGUUGAAGGAGUAAGUUGUUUUUUUUGUAUCAUUUUAGUGAUUUUGCACUUUUAACGUCUUUUUACUUUUCUUUUUUCAAUACCUUAUAGUCGAUAACGAGCCGCAAGUCCGGCUACAGUUGCGAAAUGAGGUAGGGAUGCAAAUUAUCCCCUCAGUAUCACCUCAAGUGUACCUCGUUUUUACGUCUAAAUUAGAGGAUUUAGAAAUAGUUACGUGGCAAAUGGUACGAGGUGAGAGAUAGCGGAAUUGGGAGAAACAAAUUGAUGGGAGGAAAGUGACUUCUUCCUAGCCGAACUGCCUCCGAUCGUACGAGCUUGAUCCGGAGCCGGAAGAUUGGAAUUAAACGAUGGCGCCUCA